AAAUUGAAGAGUUUGAUCAUGGCUCAGAUUGAACGCUGGCGGCAGGCCUAACACAUGCAAGUCGAGCGGUAGCACAGAGAGCUUGCUCUCGGGUGACGAGCGGCGGACGGGUGAGUAAUGUCUGGGAAACUGCCUGAUGGAGGGGGAUAACUACUGGAAACGGUAGCUAAUACCGCAUAAUGUCGCAAGACCAAAGUGGGGGACCUUCGGGCCUCAUGCCAUCAGAUGUGCCCAGAUGGGAUUAGCUAGUAGGUGGGGUAACGGCUCACCUAGGCGACGAUCCCUAGCUGGUCUGAGAGGAUGACCAGCCACACUGGAACUGAGACACGGUCCAGACUCCUACGGGAGGCAGCAGUGGGGAAUAUUGCACAAUGGGCGCAAGCCUGAUGCAGCCAUGCCGCGUGUGUGAAGAAGGCCUUCGGGUUGUAAAGCACUUUCAGCGGGGAGGAAGGCGAUAAGGUUAAUAACCUUGUCGAUUGACGUUACCCGCAGAAGAAGCACCGGCUAACUCCGUGCCAGCAGCCGCGGUAAUACGGAGGGUGCAAGCGUUAAUCGGAAUUACUGGGCGUAAAGCGCACGCAGGCGGUCUGUCAAGUCGGAUGUGAAAUCCCCGGGCUCAACCUGGGAACUGCAUUCGAAACUGGCAGGCUAGAGUCUUGUAGAGGGGGGUAGAAUUCCAGGUGUAGCGGUGAAAUGCGUAGAGAUCUGGAGGAAUACCGGUGGCGAAGGCGGCCCCCUGGACAAAGACUGACGCUCAGGUGCGAAAGCGUGGGGAGCAAACAGGAUUAGAUACCCUGGUAGUCCACGCCGUAAACGAUGUCGAUUUGGAGGUUGUGCCCUUGAGGCGUGGCUUCCGGAGCUAACGCGUUAAAUCGACCGCCUGGGGAGUACGGCCGCAAGGUUAAAACUCAAAUGAAUUGACGGGGGCCCGCACAAGCGGUGGAGCAUGUGGUUUAAUUCGAUGCAACGCGAAGAACCUUACCUGGUCUUGACAUCCACAGAACUUAGCAGAGAUGCUUUGGUGCCUUCGGGAACUGUGAGACAGGUGCUGCAUGGCUGUCGUCAGCUCGUGUUGUGAAAUGUUGGGUUAAGUCCCGCAACGAGCGCAACCCUUAUCCUUUGUUGCCAGCGGUCCGGCCGGGAACUCAAAGGAGACUGCCAGUGAUAAACUGGAGGAAGGUGGGGAUGACGUCAAGUCAUCAUGGCCCUUACGACCAGGGCUACACACGUGCUACAAUGGCGCAUACAAAGAGAAGCGACCUCGCGAGAGCAAGCGGACCUCAUAAAGUGCGUCGUAGUCCGGAUUGGAGUCUGCAACUCGACUCCAUGAAGUCGGAAUCGCUAGUAAUCGUAGAUCAGAAUGCUACGGUGAAUACGUUCCCGGGCCUUGUACACACCGCCCGUCACACCAUGGGAGUGGGUUGCAAAAGAAGUAGGUAGCUUAACCUUCGGGAGGGCGCUUACCACUUUGUGAUUCAUGACUGGGGUGAAGUCGUAACAAGGUAACCGUAGGGGAACCUGCGGUUGGAUCACCUCCUUACCUUAAAGAA
This 1550-nucleotide ribosomal RNA is filed under the name Klebsiella pneumoniae. RNAcentral describes it as "bacterial SSU rRNA". It matches the Rfam family "Bacterial small subunit ribosomal RNA". Lineage: Bacteria; Pseudomonadati; Pseudomonadota; Gammaproteobacteria; Enterobacterales; Enterobacteriaceae. The record is from RNAcentral.